AUGAACGCUGGCGGCAGGCCUAAACAUGCAAGUCGAACGGUAACAGGAUUAGCUUGCUAAUCGCUGACGAGUGGCGGACGGGUGAGUAAUGCUUGGGAACUUGCCUUUGCGAGGGGGAUAACAGUUGGAAACGACUGCUAAUACCGCAUAAUGUCUACGGACCAAACGGGGCUUCGGCUCCGGCGCAAAGAGAGGCCCAAGUGAGAUUAGCUAGUUGGUAAGGUAAAGGCUUACCAAGGCGACGAUCUCUAGCUGUUCUGAGAGGAAGAUCAGCCACACUGGGACUGAGACACGGCCCAGACUCCUACGGGAGGCAGCAGUGGGGAAUAUUGCACAAUGGGGGAAACCCUGAUGCAGCCAUGCCGCGUGUGUGAAGAAGGCCUUCGGGUUGUAAAGCACUUUCAGUUGUGAGGAAAAGUUAGUAGUUAAUACCUGCUAGCCGUGACGUUAACAACAGAAGAAGCACCGGCUAACUCCGUGCCAGCAGCCGCGGUAAUACGGAGGGUGCGAGCGUUAAUCGGAAUUACUGGGCGUAAAGCGCACGCAGGCGGUUUGUUAAGCUAGAUGUGAAAGCCCCGGGCUCAACC
This 587-nucleotide ribosomal RNA is filed under the name uncultured bacterium. RNAcentral's name for it is "bacterial SSU rRNA". It matches the Rfam family "Bacterial small subunit ribosomal RNA", at positions 29 to 614 of the family's 1533-position model. The record is from RNAcentral.